GUCUCCCCUACAUCUCCCCACGGUGUCACUCUGGGAACCAUGCCUCCAGGUCUCCCCUACAUCUCCCCACAGUGUCACUCUGGGAACCAUGCCUCCAGGUCUCCCCUACAUCUCCCCACAGUGUCACUCUGAGAACCAUGCCUCCAGGUCUCCCCUACAUCUCCCCACGGUGUCACUCUGGGAACCAUGCCUCCAGGUCUCCCCUACAUCUCCCCACGGUGUCACUCGGGGAACCAUGCCUCCAGGUCUCCCCUACAUCUCCCCACAGUGUCACUCUGGGAACCAUGCCUCCAGGUCUCCCCUACAUCUCCCCACAGUGUCACUCUGGGAACCAUGCCUCCAGGUCUCCCCUACAUCUCCCCACAGUGUCACUCUGGGAACCAUGCCUCCAGGUCUCCCCUACAUCUCCCCACAGUGUCACUCGGGGAACCAUGCCUCCAGGUCUCCCCUACAUCUCCCCACAGUGUCACUCGGGGAACCACGCCUCCAGGUCUCCCCUACAUCUCCCCACAGUGUCACUCGGGGAACCAUGCCUCCAACACAUAAAAGCUCAGGGAAUAAACCACAUCCAAACCCCAGCACCCCAGAGUUGGGAUAACAACCAUUGCAGUGUUAAACUACGUGAGCUCAAGAAGCAGCAGAAACAAACGUCCCUGAACCUCCUCUGUCUGACUGAGCACAGCCUGCAGAGAACCCGCCGCCACCAACCCCCUCCCGAGGGAGCUGCGGGGACGUCAGCUCCCAUUAAGACUGUCCAGUGCCUGCCCAGCUUCCUUGGCAUCAAAAAGUCUGAAAGAACCUUCCAUGCCUUGUCACAGAAGCCCGAUAAAAACCAU
This is a non-coding RNA of Oryctolagus cuniculus (rabbit), 836 nucleotides long. NCBI's taxonomy places the organism in Eukaryota, Metazoa, Chordata, Mammalia, Lagomorpha, Leporidae. The record is from RefSeq and is a predicted model, not a curated record.